RNAcentral lists this ribosomal RNA (497 nucleotides) under uncultured bacterium. Its description in RNAcentral is "partial 16S ribosomal RNA". It matches the Rfam family "Bacterial small subunit ribosomal RNA", at positions 28 to 507 of the family's 1533-position model. The record is from RNAcentral.
GAUGAACGCUGGCGGCGUGCCUAAUACAUGCAAGUCGAGCGAACAGACGAGGAGCUUGCUCCUUUGACGUUAGCGGCGGACGGGUGAGUAACACGUGGGUAACCUACCUAUAAGACUGGGAUAACUUCGGGAAACCGGAGCUAAUACCGGAUAAUAUUUCGAACCGCAUGGUUCGAUAGUGAAAGAUGGCUUUGCUAUCACUUAUAGAUGGACCUGCGCCGUAGUGGCUAGGUGGUAAGGUAACGGCUUACCAAGGCAACGAUACGUAGCAGAACUGAGAGGGUGAGCAGCCACACUGGGACUGAGACACGGUCCAGACUCCUACGGAAAGCAGCAGUAGGGAAUCUUCCGCCAGGGGCGAAAGACUGACGGAGCAACACCGCGUGAGUGAUGAAGGUCUUCGGAUCGUAAAACUCUGUUAUUAGGGAAGAACAAACGUGUAAGUAACUGUGCACGUCUUGACGGUACCUAAUCAGAAAGCCACGGCUAACUACGUG